GGGUCAGUAGGUUGGUCGUGCCACCGGUACGUACUGGUCUCACUGAUUCCUCCUUCCUGAAGAACCGUAAUGCCAUUAAUUUGGUGUUGCGGGGAAACAGGACUGUUACUUUGAAAAAAUUAGAGUGUUUAAAGCAAGCUAACGCUUGGAUACACUAGCAUGGAAUAAUGAAAUAGGACGAUCGAUCCUAUUUUGUUGGUUUCUAGGAUUGACGUA
Molecule: ribosomal RNA, 216 nt
Filed under: Glomeromycotina sp.
Lineage: Eukaryota; Fungi; Glomeromycota
Description: partial small subunit ribosomal RNA
Rfam family: Eukaryotic small subunit ribosomal RNA (bases 40-216)
Source: RNAcentral